Molecule: non-coding RNA, 23 nt
Filed under: Arabidopsis thaliana (thale cress)
Lineage: Eukaryota; Viridiplantae; Streptophyta; Magnoliopsida; Brassicales; Brassicaceae
Source: RNAcentral
UUUCAAUUUACUGGUGUACAUCA